CUCAGCGCUGUUUCCACCCGCGUCAAGCAAAGGCGCAGCGGGGGUGGCGCUGCCGGGUGCGAGUGGCCCCGUGUGAGCUUCGCCUCUGCCGCGGCCGGCACGCAGUCGUUACCGGAGAGGAGGGGGCGCCGCGAGGGCUGGGGGCGGCAGGUAGGGCGAGCCCCGCCGGGAGGAGGCCCCCGGGCGCGCCUCUGGCCGGGCUUGCUCUCACGGCGAGGGGUUUUGGCGUUAGCUCCCUUCUUCCGCCAGUCUGCCCGUGUUUGCUCGCUCUGCCCCGCAUAGGCUGCGUCCUUACAGCCCUUAAGGGCGCGCUUCAGCUGCCGUGCGUUACCUUCCCUUGAAUAUAUAGGCUGUGAAACCAUACGCUGUAUUUUCAGUCAUAAUCCGGACCCUUCCCAAAUUCCGAGGAAAUAAUACAAAAUAUAAUCGAGCAAGCACAGCGGUGCGGUUACGCUCUUUUUAGGAACUCACACUAAUGCGUUGCUAUAAAUACUUCACUUCUGUAGAUGUCACCUUUUGCAACUUACAGGCUCAUCGCAAAAGGCUGGCAACUCAGUAACAGGUCAAAAAGGCACCUGAAAAAAAAGUGAGAAAAAAAUACAAGACCUUGCAAGCUUUGAAAAAACAGCAAAGAUGACUGAAUUCAAGGGGAAGAAUAAAUACCUUGUCUCUUAUAUUCCUGCAUAUAGGGCACAGAAUAUCUAUAAGAAGCACAUUCUUUCUUCUUCCAUUUGUGAGGAACAGCUGUACACACCAACACACCUUUGUUACAAAGUUUGUGAAACAAAAGCAUGCAGUGUACCUGCAGGAAGUUUCAGUAGUUGAUGGUUUAGGACAGUCAUCAUACUCUCCUGUGUGUGGAUGUUCAUUUUCCCCUCCACAUCAGAAAAUAAAAGUGGGAUUCAUCAGACCA
Molecule: long non-coding RNA, 913 nt
Filed under: Dromaius novaehollandiae (emu)
Lineage: Eukaryota; Metazoa; Chordata; Aves; Casuariiformes; Dromaiidae
Description: lncRNA (ENSDNVG00000001153.1)
Source: RNAcentral